This is an RNA transcript of Microtus ochrogaster (prairie vole), 2478 nucleotides long. It is a transcript of the gene named spermatogenesis associated 1, with no coding region annotated. The transcript has 14 exons. The record is from RefSeq and is a predicted model, not a curated record. NCBI's taxonomy places the organism in Eukaryota, Metazoa, Chordata, Mammalia, Rodentia, Cricetidae.
UAUAUAUGUAUUUAACCCAAAUUUUGACCCAUAAAAAUGAAUUGUUUAGUAAAUAGUAAAACAUGUUCUUGUCAAAAAUCCAUCCUAAUGUAAUUACCAGUUUAUUAUCCUGAUGGGCAUGAGGCUCCACUAUAAUUUGAAAAUAAAAUGCAUUUAAAACAAUUAAUUUUCUGAAUUUUGUAGCUUAGCAAGAGUAUUCACCUUUGUGAUCCUGUAACUGGCAGAAGAGCUGUGGCUUACUGUUAAUGACCAGCAUUCCAAGAAACUAUCAAACCACAUAUUAGCUUAAGAAAAGACAACAAUUCUAACAUUCAAGGACAGUAUCACUUCCACACCAUUAUAAGUUGAGGAGGCUGUCUGUACAGAGUGUAAAUUUUCUUAGAAUAACUAGCCUACUUAGUGUAUAAUGUCUUUUUAAAUGAUAAUAAGAUUGUAUAUAUUUCUAAGCUUAUACUUUGUGUUUAUAUUAAAGCUUUUUUUUUUAACUGUUUGAACACAUCAGAGACCAGAAAUAGCUGGAAUGCUAUCUUAAACCAAAAAUCUAUUUAAAGGCUUAUUUAAUGCUGCUUAAAUGAAGAAAGAUAUAUAAAACAUCCAAAACUCCACCUGGUAAUUAUCCUGUUGAGAACACUGGUCAGUAUGUCACUCAAUCCAAGUCGACCUUCUUCAUCAGAGCUGGUGGAACUUCAUGUUUUUUAUGUCCCUGAAGGAUCGUGGAACUAUAAAUUAAAUACUAUUUCAAUAGAAGUUAUUAACAAGUUUAUUUCUGCUGGAUUUAUAAGAGUAUCUCCUGAACUUACUUUACAAGCUCUGAGGGAGCGCCUUGGUGAGUUUCUCGGUGUAGAUGCUGUUGCAGAAAAAUUUUUAUUUCUGAAAUGCAUUGGAAAUAAUUUAGCUGUGGUGAAGGAAAGGCAAGAAUCAGAACUGAAACUCAAAGCAUUUGCUCCUCCAUAUGCUCUUCAGCCAGAAUUAUAUUUGCUUCCUGUAAUAGACCACUUAGGAAAUGUUUAUUCAGCAUCUUCACCAGUUACUUUAGAUGAACGUCAGAGUAAUAAUGAUACCACAGAGAUUAAUGGAAUAAUCCACAGACCAGAUAGUAUAACUUUAUCAAAGGAUGAACCUGGAGAUCCAACUUUGUUGGAAAAUAUUUGGAAAGACUUUACAAAUCAAGAAGAAGCUGAGGAAAGCCAGACUACACAAAACCACCAUGGAAGUUCUGAGGUACCAGGAUCAUUGGAAGAGUCAAAUGAUUGUUUGGGGAACCUAAAAAGUCCAUAUCUUUGGAAAGAUGAUGAUGAUAAUACAGCUAUCAAUAGAUGGCAGGCCAAACCGGUGCGUGACAAGGAGCACAUCACCCUACCAGAUCUUAUUGAUUUCCCUUCAUUUCCUUCUCAGCGAGUUUCUUCAAGAUUAACAGAUUCCUCUUUGUUAAAAAUCGAGAGAGAGAAGAUUAUUGAACAAAUGAAACAAGUAAAGGAAGAAAGAAAAUAUCUGGAAAAUAUUAGAGAAGAACUAUUAAAAAAAGUUGAAAAGCUAUUUGAACAAAAUAAAUCAAAACGAUAUCAUGUCUGUGACAGCUGGAAGAAAAAAUACUUGGACACCAAGAAAGUCACAGCAUCACUGGAGGAAGUUUUAACAAAACUUCGAGAAGAUUUGGAACUUUACUAUAAAAAACUCCUCAUGCAGCUUGAAGCCAGGGAGAUCAAGAUGCGACCAAGGAAUCUGGCAAAUAUCUCAGAUUCAAAGAAUUAUCUUAUAAUCCAGAUCACUGAAGUACAGCAUGCAAUUGACCAACUUAAGAGAAAACUGGAUACUGAUAAAAUGAAACUCAUAUUAGAAGUUAAGAUGAGGAAACAAGCAGUUUCAGAUUUACAGACACUGAAAGCUGAACUGACACAGAAGAAAAUGGGCACAUCCUUCCGACCACCAAUAUCUUAAAAGCAAACUGCAAAUGUCGAAGAAAAACAAGAAAACUAGGCAAGAAAUGAGUAUUAAUAAGUGAAGGACCAUGAAUGACUACAAGUAUAAACAGUGAAUAGAAUCAAGUUCAACAGCAGCUGCUUCUCACUACAAGAAUUUUACACAUAAAUCUCACAGCAGUUUCUGGAAGUGUGCCAACUUAGGAAUUCGACAGAUGAAGACUGUUUGUGAUAAAUCGGCCAGAAGAACAGGUAAUAGCAGUGAAGGAGGAAAGUGCCAUCUGCCUGGGUCUUAGAGAAUCGAUUCUAAAAGGCUGCUGGAGGGGACUCCCUGGAUGACUUAGCACAGAACUGAUCAAGAACAAUGAACUAGAUUGUGGUCUUGUACCCUGUACCACUGUCUUUCAAGAAACACAUGGGUUAUUUAAAAAUAAAUGAAAGGACCAGAUGUAGGCAAAAGAACAAAUGAAGGAGGAAAAUGUAUUAGGAGAAAAAAACAGAACUAUAGUGAAAAAUAUGUUUUAUAUGCAUGAAUAAACCACUUAAAGGCAAUUCUGAA